RNAcentral lists this ribosomal RNA (1287 nucleotides) under Mytilus galloprovincialis (Mediterranean mussel). RNAcentral's name for it is "bacterial LSU rRNA". It matches the Rfam family "Bacterial large subunit ribosomal RNA", at positions 1194 to 2460 of the family's 2925-position model. The record is from RNAcentral. Lineage: Eukaryota; Metazoa; Mollusca; Bivalvia; Mytilida; Mytilidae.
GGGGAGUACGGGGGAUCUUUAGGAUUUAUGGUAGGAGAGCGUAGUAUGUGGCGAUGAAGCCGUACCGUAAGGAGCGGUCGAGUAAAUACUAGUGAAUAUGCAUGGCAUGAGUACGCGAUAAAAUAGGUGAGAAUCCUAUUCGCCGAAAACCCAAGGUUUCCAGGGUAAAGCUCGUCUUCCCUGGGUUAGCCGGUCCCUAAGUCGAGGCCUAAGGGCGUAGACGAUGGGAAACAGGUAAAUAUUCCUGUGCCACCUAAAACUAUAGCGAUUGGACUGACGGAGUAAGUUAAGCACGCGAGCUGUUGGAUUAGCUCGUUGGGCGUCGAGGUUGUAUGAUAGGCAAAUCCGUCAUACAUAAGACCGUGGGCGCUGACAAGGGGAGUCUUAGGACGAACCGAUGGUGUAGCGCGAUGCUUCCUGGAAAGAAGUUCUAGCUGUUGAUGGUGACCGUACCAAAUCCGACACAGGUGGGUGAGAAGAGAAUUCUAAGGCGCGCGAGAUAACUCUCGUUAAGGAACUCGGCAAAUUGUCCCCGUAACUUCGGGAGAAGGGGAGCUUUUUGUUGUGAUUAUUUUUACAAUAUGAGCGACAGAAAGUCGCAGAGAAUCAAUUCAAGCGACUGUUUAACAAAAACAUAGCACUAUGCAAAGUCGCAAAGACGAAGUAUAUAGUGUGAUGCCUGCCCAAUGCUCCAAGGUUAAAGUGAGAGGUCAACCUUUUUUGGUGAAGCUUCGAGCCCAAGCCCGGGUAAAUGGCGGCUGUAACUCUAACGGUCCUAAGGUAGCGAAAUUCCUUGUCGGGUAAGUUCCGACCUGCACGAAUGGUGUAACGACUUGAAUACUGUCUCAACGAGAGACUCGGUGAAAUUGAAGUAGCCGUGAAGAUGCGGUUUUCCCACGACAGGACGAAUAGACCCCGUGAACCUUUACUGUAGCUUGAUAUUGAAUUGCGAAUAUGUAUGUGUAGCAUAGCUGGGAGACUAUGAAACGCGCUCGUUAGGGUGCGUUGAGUCAUUAGUGAAAUACCAGUCUUAUAUAUUUGUAAUUCUAACAAUACUCCAUGAAUCUGGAGGUUGGACAUUGUCAGGUGGGCAGUUUUACUGGGGCGGUAUCCUCCCAAAAAGUAACGGAGGAGUUCAAAGCUUACUUCAUCACGAAAAGGCAACCGUGAGUUGAGUGUAAAGGCAAAAAGUAGGUUAACUGCGAGACCCGCAAGUCGAGCAGAUACGAAAGUAGGACUUAGUGAUCCGGCGGUAUAGAAUGGAAUUGCCGUCGCUUAACGGAUAAA